GGAAAGGAAGGUUUGAAAAGGAAAAGUGUAAGGAAAAGGAAGGAAAACAGAAGGAAAAGGAAGGAUAAAAAGUGUAAGGAAAAGGAAGGAAAACAGAAGGAAAAGGAAGGAUAGGGAAGGAAAAGUGUAAGGAAAAGGAAGGAAAACAGAAGGAAAAGGAAGGAUAGAGAAGGAAAAGUGUAAGGAAAAGGAAGGAAAACAGAAGGAAAAGGAAGGAAAACAGAAGGAAAAGGAAGGAUAGAGAAGGAAAAGUGUAAGGAAAAGGAAGGAAAACAGAAGGAAAAGGAAGGAAAACAGAAGGGAAAGUGUAAGGAAAAGGAAGGAAAACAAAAGGAAAAGGAAGGUCAGAGAAGGAAAAGUGUAAGGAAAAGGAAGGAAAACAGAAGGAAAAGGAAGGAAAACAAGGAAAAGGAAGGUCAGAGAAGGAAAAGUGUAAGGAAAAGGAAGGAAAACAGAAGGAAAAGGAAGGAAAACAAGGAAAAGGAAGGUUAGGGAAGGAAAAGUGUAAGGAAAAGGAAGGAAAACAGAAGGAAAAUGAAGGAAAAGAGAAGGAAAUGUAAGUACCAGGAAUUGAAAAGCCAAUCUCAACCACCACCAUCACCACCACCACCACCACCAACACCGCCAUCCGCCGCCAGCACCUGCCCCAUCACACGUCCGAGAAUGAGAUCGUCCCUCGACUUAUGCAACCCAGCAGUGACGCAGGGGACACCGGGGCUUCGGACUCCCUUCCUCUCUUCACUGGAAACACAAACACGACCCGCCCGCUAUGCCGAGCCGCGCUACGUCCUGUCCGUCUGUCUGUCCGUCUGUCUGCUCUCAGUC
This is a long non-coding RNA of Eriocheir sinensis (Chinese mitten crab), 825 nucleotides long. RefSeq lists it as uncharacterized. The transcript is spliced from 3 exons. Lineage: Eukaryota; Metazoa; Arthropoda; Malacostraca; Decapoda; Varunidae. The record is from RefSeq and is a predicted model, not a curated record.